This 230-nucleotide ribosomal RNA is filed under the name uncultured bacterium. RNAcentral's name for it is "partial 16S ribosomal RNA". It matches the Rfam family "Bacterial small subunit ribosomal RNA", at positions 118 to 347 of the family's 1533-position model. The record is from RNAcentral.
UGAGUAACCUGCCCUUCACUCUGGGAUAACUCCGGGAAACCGGGGCUAAUACUGGAUAUGACUCGAACAGGCAUCUGUUUCGGGUGGAAAGAUUUAUUGGUGGAGGAUGGACUCGCGGCCUAUCAGCUUGUUGGUGAGGUAAUGGCUCACCAAGGCGACGACGGGUAGCCGGCUGAGAGGGCGAUCGGCCACACUGGGACUGAGACACGGCCCAGACUGCUACGGGAGNA